Molecule: ribosomal RNA, 468 nt
Filed under: uncultured bacterium
Lineage: Bacteria
Description: partial 16S ribosomal RNA
Rfam family: Bacterial small subunit ribosomal RNA
Source: RNAcentral
GACGAACGCUGGCGGCGUGCUUAACACAUGCAAGUCGAACGGAAAGGCCCUGCUUUUGUGGGGUGCUCGAGUGGCGAACGGGUGAGUAACACGUGUGUAACCUGCCCUUGACUUUGGGAUAACUUCAGGAAACUGGGGCUAAUACCGGAUAGGAGCUCCUGCUGCAUGGUGGGGGUUGGAAGGUUUAGGCGGUUGGGGGGGGGAUGGCGUCGUAUCAGCUUGUUGGUGGGGUGGUGGCUUACCAUGGCUUUGACGGGUAGCCGAGCUGCGAGGGUGACAGGCCACAUUGGGACUGAGAUGCGGCCCGGACUCGUCUGGGAGGCAGCGGUGGGGAAGAGUGCACAAUGCGAGGAGGCCUGAUGCAGUAACGCCGCGUGGGGGAAGACGGCCAGGGGGUUGUGUAGCGCAUCCGUCUGUGAUGAGGAGAGAGUGACGGUAACAGGAAAAGAAGCACCGGCUAACUACGUG